Daphnia carinata is the source of this 1260-nucleotide long non-coding RNA. RefSeq lists it as uncharacterized. NCBI's taxonomy places the organism in Eukaryota, Metazoa, Arthropoda, Branchiopoda, Diplostraca, Daphniidae. The record is from RefSeq and is a predicted model, not a curated record. The transcript is spliced from 6 exons.
UGAGCAGUGAGAAACGAUUGUUGAUGAUGUAGAGUUUUGUAACGGUGGACCCCACAGUCUAUGACAGAAACAAGUAGGACAGAAAAUUCCAUCUUCAUCACUAACAAAAGAAAAAGAGAGAUUUGCAUUUUAAGGAGCAGUACAUAUUGGCAGCCAUGUAGCUUUGUAGUUGCUUCGAAGAGUAUUUUUUUCCUUGUCUGGUGAUUGGUUGCACUUUGAAUACCUCCUAUCCUUAUAGCCAUGGAACACUUGACAUUGACUCCAUUUACACUUGCAGAAACAAAAACGAACAUAUUUGCAACAAGUAUUUUUUUGUGACUAUGAAACCAAAAAUUGUGAAUUUUUUUAAGUACCUAUAUUUAGAAGACAUCUAGCGGAGGAAUUGCUUGUUACUGAGUACUCUACUGAACUGUCAAUUUAUUCGUUGUCAGGGGGCUAUAUCGAGUUUGGUUGCCAUAAUAAUGGUUGCCUCGCGAAUUGGAAAUGCUUUGCUGAAUCCCAGGAUAUCGCCAAGUGUGCUAUAUUGUCGUAAUCUUUUUUCUCCUUAGGAUGGUUACCAAUGUGCAGUUGAAUUCUAAAAGAUUUUGUUUGAUAUGCUGUAUUUAAAGAACUGAUGUUGGCACCAGCUUGAUGGGAAAAAGUCAUUUCCAAUGUGGGCACAGGGAAACUUGGAUUUAUUUGGUAAUAGAGUCGGAUGGUUUUCCUGAAGUUGCAGUUUGAAAUAACCUUUCAAAGCCUGAAUUCAUCUUCGUAGAAAGGGACUUGUGAGAAGUAACGCUGGCUCUGUAAAUGUUCUUGGUUUGGGACAAGACGUUGAAUAAAUUGUGAUGAUUGGAUGGACAACACGGAAUUCCUACACUUUAUUCAUAUUCCCCAAACGGUAUUUAAAAUUCAAAAAUUGAAGUGCAUAUCUGGGCUCCCUUCCUUUCCGUAGCCCCGUUUCCCCUUGACUCGUAAUAAGCCCGUAGGGGGUCAUGCCCCUACUGUACGGUAUAUUUAAAAAUAACAUAUACCGAGGUUUGGAGGGCUCUGGCCGGAAAGGGGACGUGGGCUGGCCGCUUAGUCCGAUGAUGUGUUCACGGAGGGCGACGUGGCUACCCACAAAUCCGAACUAAAGGUUAAUCGCUCCAGUAAAAAUGUUCCAUAUCUUCGGCUCUUCUUCCGGCUUCUCUUAGCCAAUCACCGGGUAAUCUCCCCGGUGGGUCAACAAGGCAGUGUCUCCCCCUGCCUGGGUUGACGGCAACUUUUGAAAGGGCUAUU